CCUACGGGAGGCAGCAGUGGGGAAUCUUAGACAAUGGGGAAACCCUGAUCUAGCCAUGCCGCGUGAUCGAUGAAGGCCUUAGGGUUGUAAAGAUCUUUCAGAUGGGAAGAUAAUGACGGUACCAUCAGAAGAAGCCCCGGCUAACUCCGUGCCAGCAGCCGCGGUAAUACGGAGGGGGCUAGCGUUAUUCGGAAUUACUGGGCGUAAAGCGCACGUAGGCGGAUCAGAAAGUCAGAGGUGAAAUCCCAGGGCUCAACCUUGGAACUGCCUUUGAAACUCCUGGU
This 284-nucleotide ribosomal RNA is filed under the name uncultured bacterium. RNAcentral describes it as "partial 16S ribosomal RNA". It matches the Rfam family "Bacterial small subunit ribosomal RNA", at positions 338 to 640 of the family's 1533-position model. The record is from RNAcentral.